AUUUAUUUAGUAUUGCAAGUACAGUUGAUUUCCAAUCAAAAAGACUAAUUAAAAUUUAAAUAGAAUAAAUA
RNAcentral lists this transfer RNA (71 nucleotides) under Haania vitalisi. RNAcentral's name for it is "tRNA-Gly". The record is from RNAcentral. Lineage: Eukaryota; Metazoa; Arthropoda; Insecta; Mantodea; Haaniidae.